Molecule: long non-coding RNA, 521 nt
Organism: Felis catus (domestic cat)
Lineage: Eukaryota; Metazoa; Chordata; Mammalia; Carnivora; Felidae
Exons: 2
Source: RefSeq, a predicted model, not a curated record
UCACGGAACACAAGCAGAAGACCAGCCUGGCUGCCUCCCUGGAGCUCGGGGGAAGAGACCCCACGCCACCACUCGGCCCACCUGACAGCACAGUGAAGGCGAUAGGGUGCAAUAAGCGAGACAGAGAUCUACUAGAGAAACAACACCCCGCCACCGAGCGAGGGAGAGCCACGCGUCUCUCACGCAGGUGUGGCCGAAGCUGGGGAAGGAGGGAGGCAGCGAGCUCACCGCACGGCCGGCGGCGCAGGCGCACUUUGCAGACAAGCAUGGCGCUGCCUGCAAAAGCUCCGGCUCCAAGCCGCAUCAUUCCUCGGUUGGGUCAGUCUUCGCUGGGCCGGGAAAGGCAGCGAAGCCCAUGCAGAAGGGGGAACGUAGCAGGAAAAGACCCGAGCUGAGGAAAACCGAGACCACGCAGGGCCCCGAAGACGGCACACAGGACCCACAUUGAACAAACACACUCGGCCUCCCUUCGUCUCCUUGGUACAUCACGUUCCCCAGAUAAAGUACGUUGUACGCGGUCA